CCCGUUUCCCUAAAAAAACGCACUCUCCUCCCACUCCCAUCUCGUUAGAUCCCCCACCAGGCUCCUCUCGUCCACAUGCGCCAUUUCUUCCGAUUUGUUGCGAGUGAUUGAAAGAUGUCGCUGCUGGCAUCAAGUGAUCGAUCCCCAUGCCAUCCCGCAUCUAGUUGCCACUUAUUUUCUUCAAAUUUCUCUUCAUUGGGUGGUGGCUCAGGUGGCCGGAUGAGUGUGUGCACGCGUUUGAUGCAGUCUCUACGGUGCGGAUCCUCACCUACCUCGUCGACUCUGGCAACGCGGCCACGAUGAGGGCCAGGUUGAAAGCACCGGAUGCGCUCCUCAACCUCGUCUAGCGGCCCUGGCAGAGGUGCUGAAGGUUGGCGGCGUGGAGGAGAUGGUGAGGGAUCUCACGGAGGAUGGGACACCGUGAACAUCUGACCUUCUCUUUUUGCAAAACAACAACAACAACAACAACAACAUCUGACCUUCGUACUCUUGGUCUUCCAGCCUUGUAUUUUUUUUUACUUUUGCUCCAGCAGAUUUCCUGUUCUUGCAGACAUCUUUUCCCUUUCUUUCUGUAGUACUUGCCGCAUUUCAUUCUUCCUCUCGAGUCAUUUGAUAGUACAAUAGAUCUCAGUCUCCUCUUUUUGUCACUUUGUAGUUCACAUGAUGAUAACAGUUGGUCGCGGCACCCAUCUUUGUUUACUGUAUCCCCAUUGCUAUCAUGUGGUUCCUCUUUCGCAGGCACCAGUUCACAUGACAUUUUGGAACGUGAAACUCUAUUAUUCUGUGACUGUAAAAUAAAUAUACAUUUGAAAAAUUAGACAUGCUUCUAAAAAUCUGGAAGUGUGUAUGUGGAAAAAAUCAAUCACCCUUUUAACUGCAUGUUCAGUUUCUUUGAUUUAUGUUUUAGUAAGGCGUCCCCUUCAUCAUUCAUCAAAUCAUGUGUAACAUAUGUGCUGAAUCGGUUUGGAACUUAUAUACAUGGUACCUAAUUUUAAUUUUUGGAAAAAUGAAUAAAAGCACCUUUACCUCCUCAACUUCAUUGUAUACGUACAACAUCUCAAGUCUAUCACUGGGCACAAAUGUUAUCUGUACAUAAUUAUGGUAUUAUCUUUGGCGCUUCAGAUUUCCCAUCCAAUGACUUAGCAAGUUAGAGACAGAUGUAUAAUGGUCAGAAAAAAUAAUUAGUUUGAAGUCUUAAUUACAACUAUAAAUGUACCCGAGCGUUGGAGUAUAGUUGAAAGUCUCAAUUAAAAUUAUAAACAUACAUGGGCACUGUAUAUCUUCCUUGGCCCGUUCUUGUAUUAGGUAAGGUUCUUCGUAGAUAGCUUGAAGUAAUAACAGGCAAUAUUUCCGGAGAUCUUUGACCUCCUUUACCUUUGUAUAUGUGCAAAACUAUUUUAAUUUCGUUGCUUAGAGGACAAUAUUUGGUGGAUUCCACAACCGUAAAAUUGCUCCUCGGCCCGUUCUUGUAUCAAGUCGGGUUCUUGGUAGAUAGCUCGAAGUAAUAACAUGCCAUUUUUCCGGAGAUCUUGGACCUCCUUUACCUUUGUAUUAUGUGCAAAACUAUUUUAAUUUCAUUGCUUAGAGGGUGAUAUUUUGUGGAUUCCACAACCGUAAAAUUACUAAAUGCAUAAGUAGAUUGCUCAUCGAUUUUUAAUCUGAAAGUGUCUAUGAGACUUAGUAAUUGUUUUUGAAAAUGCUAGAAUAAUUUCUAGUUUAAAAUAUAAAGAAUAUACAUGUUCAUCCAUUAAGAUCAUAUCUGGGUUAAUAAGCUCAUCAAUUGUAGGAUUUAACAUGUAUCUUUAUUACUUUUACUUGAAUGUUCCCGUUUUGUCCCUGUUAAAUCGCUCAGUUUUUUGUGUGGCACAAUGUUUUGCCUACAAAUAACACAAAAUUAUUUUUUCAAUUCAUGAAGUACCUGUGAAGACUGUAAAAGAUAAGUGAAUUUAGUAAAUAAUAAUUGCCAAACUUUAUGAUUCAGGUGAGAAGACACUGGGUAUGGCUUCGUCCAACUUCAAGUUACAUGUUAUGUGAAGCAGUUGGAUGUGGUAGUCGUGGAGUGUUAGUUCUUGCUGACUUCAAUAUUUUUCGGUGUCGAGUUGAGCAUCAAGUCGCCCGUUGCUUCCUAUUAUCAGCUGACUUUGUUUUUCUUUGUGGUGUCACGACUCAGGCAUCGAUUCGCUCAUUGUGUCUACCACUGGCUCACUUUGGCAUAUUCUUGAACAUGUGCUAUAUGUGGCCGGCUAAUAAUUGUCGAACUUGAUGAUUCAGGUGAGAAGGCAGUGGGCGUCAUCCGACUUUGAGUUUUCGUGCCACAUGAAGCAGUUGGAUGUGGUAGUUGUGGAGUGGCGGUUCUUGCUGACUUCGAUAUUUGUCGGUGUCGAGUUGAGCGGCGAGUCUCCCAUUGCAUCGUCGUACCAUAUUCGUUUUUCUUUGUGGUGUCAAGAUUCAGGCAUCGAUUUCGUCCCACUGGCUCCAUUCAAUUUCUUGUUUUUGGCUGAUUUCUUGGGCGUGUGGUUUAUGUGGACGACCAGUCUUGUUUAUAUUGGUUGAUGUGGCUGACACCGUGUGGAGUCCUGAUCUUAUAUUUGUCUUGCAUGCAUCUGUCCGGUUUUGGAUUGUCAGCACGUGAGUUGUACUUACGUAUCCAUUAUAUGUUUGGGAUCCUUAUUUGUUGACCCAUCCUUGGGAAAGAAAGUUAUUAUGGAUCUGUUCGUGGUUGUCUCGGACAUAUUUGAUUUUAAAAU
RNA transcript from Triticum aestivum (bread wheat), 2747 nucleotides. RefSeq lists it as uncharacterized. The transcript has 2 exons. The record is from RefSeq and is a predicted model, not a curated record. Lineage: Eukaryota; Viridiplantae; Streptophyta; Magnoliopsida; Poales; Poaceae.